AGACAGAUCAAAAGAUAUCAUCAUAUCUGGUGGUGAAAAUAUUAGUAGUGUUGAGGUCGAGAAUAUCCUAUAUCAACACCCAGCAAUACUAGAGGUCUCCGUUGUUGCGAGGCCUGAUGAGCAAUGGGGAGAGUCACCUUGUGCAUUCGUGACAUUAAAGCCUGCUGUAAAGGAAACAGAUCAGCAGCAGGCUGCAGAGGAUAUUAUUAAAUUUAGUCGAUCAAAGAUGCCUAGGUACUGGGUACCAAAGUCGGUGUUUUUCGGACCAUUGCCAAAGACAGCUACAGGGAAAAUACAGAAGCACUUGUUAAGGACAAAGGCAAAGGAGAUGGGACCGUUGAAGAAGAGUAGAUUGUAAAUGUAACACGAUCGACUGGUUGCCUGAUUUGUCUUUGUAAUUCUAAGACGUCUGCUGUCUAUGCAUCUCUGUGUAUCAUGAUCUUCCUUGUAGAUAAAUAAGGUUAUGUUUCAGAUUUUUCCUAGAUAAUCAUGGAAGGGUACCAUGUAAGUUUUUGUUAUCA
This 521-nucleotide unclassified non-coding RNA is filed under the name Hevea brasiliensis (rubber tree). The record is from RNAcentral. Lineage: Eukaryota; Viridiplantae; Streptophyta; Magnoliopsida; Malpighiales; Euphorbiaceae.